UGGUCGCAUAAUAAAGAUCAUCUUCUAAUAUAGAGGCUUAAGCCCAAGCGAGCCCAAUGACAGCAAUAAAGGUCCAGAAGAUGCCACUUCCAGCAACCAACCCAACGGCAGUGUUGUUGGCCGGAGUUGGUGCCGGUGAAGUAGGAGGUGCCGGUGAAGUAGGAGGUGCUGGUGAAGUAGGAGGUGCCGGUGAAGUAGGAGGUUUUGAAGGAGUUGGUGGAGCAGUGGGGGGUACGGGCUUGGGCAUGGGCGGGUGAUCAGGUGACUGAACCACCACGAUCAAUUUUUCACCGUUAGCGCAAUUACCUUGAUCUCCACUGAUGAAGUAGUGUGG
RNAcentral lists this long non-coding RNA (334 nucleotides) under Brassica napus (rape). Its description in RNAcentral is "long non-coding RNA (BNAP_LNC016233)". Lineage: Eukaryota; Viridiplantae; Streptophyta; Magnoliopsida; Brassicales; Brassicaceae. The record is from RNAcentral.